Molecule: ribosomal RNA, 503 nt
Filed under: uncultured bacterium
Lineage: Bacteria
Description: partial 16S ribosomal RNA
Rfam family: Bacterial small subunit ribosomal RNA
Source: RNAcentral
AUUGAACGCUGGCGGCAGGCUUAACACAUGCAAGUCGAGCGGGGUGAUGGUGCUUGCACUAUCACUUAGCGGCGGACGGGUGAGUAAUGCUUAGGAAUCUGCCUAUUAGUGGGGGACAACAUCUCGAAAGGGAUGCUAAUACCGCAUACGUCCUACGGGAGAAAGCAGGGGAUCACUUGUGACCUUGCGCUAAUAGAUGAGCCUAAGUCGGAUUAGCUAGUUGGGGGGGUAAAGGCCUACCAAGGCGACGAUCUGUAGCGGGUCUGACAGGAUGAUCCGCAACGCUGGGACUGAGACACGGCCCAGACUCCUACGGGAGGCAGCAGCGGGGAAUAUUGGACAAUGGGGGGAACCCUGAUCCAGCCAUGCCGCGUGUGUGAAGAAGGCCUUAUGGUUGUAAAGCACUUUAAGCGAGGAGGAGGCUCUUUUGGUUAAUACCCAAGAUGAGUGGACAUUACUCGCAGAAUAAGCACCGGCUAACUCUGUGCCAGCAGCCGCCGUAA